UUUAGCCUAAACAAUAUUGCUAAAAUAUUAAAAGUUAUGAUCUCUAAAUUUAAAGGAUUUGGCGGUGAUUUAGUCCAGUUAGAGGAACCUGUUAAAUAAACGAUAUACCACGAAAAAUCUUACCUGUUUUCAGUUUGUAUACCGUCAUUAAUAGAUAACUUUGAAAAAAAGAGUUAUUUUAAAAAGAUUUUCUUUAUAUAUUAGAUCAAGGUGCAGCGCAUAAAUAGGCCUAUAAUGGGUUACAAUAAUAUUUUAUUAGACGAAUAUAAACAUUAAAUUAUUUAUUGAAGGAGGAUUUAAUAGUAAGAUUAGUUUAAUAAGCUAAUUUGAUAAAGGAUCUAAAUUGUGUACAUAUCGCCCGUCGCUUUCAUUACAAAAUGAAAUAAGUCGUAACAUAG
Molecule: ribosomal RNA, 398 nt
Filed under: Gilvossius tyrrhenus
Lineage: Eukaryota; Metazoa; Arthropoda; Malacostraca; Decapoda; Callianassidae
Description: partial 12S ribosomal RNA
Source: RNAcentral